Molecule: long non-coding RNA, 2190 nt
Organism: Megalobrama amblycephala (Wuchang bream)
Lineage: Eukaryota; Metazoa; Chordata; Actinopteri; Cypriniformes; Xenocyprididae
Exons: 2
Source: RefSeq, a predicted model, not a curated record
AAUAAUAGAUAGAAAAAUUAAUAGAUCCAUCGAUCCUCAAAACAAUUGUUUGUUACAGCUCUAAAUUCAAGAAAUUAAUUAUUUCUUUAUUUAUUUCUUUGACAUGUGCGUUGGCUCUUUUGCCUCAGGCUCGAGGCUUGUGCCCAGCCAACAUCAAAGUUUCAAGCUUUAUUUUCUAGUUUCAAUUGAUCUAUUACUUUCAUUUGGAUGAUAAAAAAAUUACAGAGUAUUUUAAGUCGAUUUUGCUGCUAUUUGAAGAAAAUCCAUCAAAACCCGCUGGCACGUUUGCCGGCCCUAGAGAGUUAAAGAUCAAAAGUUUCAUCUCAUCGAGCAGUCUCAUCUGGUCUAAUUACUGUGCUGAGCUACAGAAUGUUGUUCCAUGCGCCACCUGGUGGAUAUUGUAUGACCCUAACCACAGCACAGCAAACUUAUUUAAAUUGAUCCAUUAUCACACGUGAUAGAUUGUGUGCUGCUAUGUGAAAAAAGUGCAUUCUUAAAGGCCACAUCUGUAUACACACACGUUGGGUAAUUUUUUGGGGGGUCUUUCCAUAGACAUAAUGUUUUUAUACUGUACAAAUGAUAUAUUCUAUCUCCUACCCCUACACAUAACCCUAACAGAAAUCUUUUUGCAUUUUUACAUUAAAAAAAACAAACAAACAAAAAAAAACAUAAUUUAGUAUUAUUAAGCUGUCUUUGUCAUGAGUGGGAGAUGUUGUAACAUUGCAAAAUACUGUUUUACAAAACUUGCUUCUUGCUACUUCAGGUUCUUCAAAAAACAACUUGCCAUGAUUUACUGACAUAUUCUUCAGUAGCAGUAGCCAGUAAGAAUGUUGAUGAAACUAUGCAAACAUGUUUCUCAAGUCACUAUGCAAAUUACUUUUGUUCUCAGAAGCAUAUAAAAGAAACUUGCACAUUAGCUCAGUGUAGUAUCCCAACUAUCCACAAAAGUAAAGCAGUCUGGCUAUUGACAAGGCAUAUUCUGUGGCAACUUCACUACAAAUCACUGAUCCAAAAAAUCCAAAAAAUACAAAGUACAAAAUUCCAAAUGCAGGAGACAUACAAAACUUCCUCAUGGCUGCAGAUGCUUUCCUAAAUGCUUUCAGCUUGCUGGAGGCAUUUAUCAAACAAAACUUGCAGAAGUUUCCUGGUCUCUCCAGCUUUCCAGUGAAAGAAGACGACAUUGACAAACUCGGAAAGCAGAUAGAGAUUGUGAAGGCUCAAAAAGUUAUUAGCUGAUCUAAUGUGGUUCUAACUGUUCCUGAAUUUGUUUUUGUUUGUUUUUUUUUCUGAUUUUUUCCCCGAUUUUUUUCCAUCUGUAAGUCAAGACGGUGACUUUAGCUGUCAACUUUAUAUGCAUCUUUAGCAGCAUGAAAACAAAUCUGUUAUUCAAAUUGUGAACUAAUUAUUUUCAGAAAGAAAGCAAAGAACACUUUUAUAAUGUAAUAAUGAAAGUAUUUGUAGAAAAGUGCAGUUGUGACACAAACUUGUGUCUUGUCCCAUACAGAAAUGCUUUUUUAUGUUCAUUGGAGUGUCACUUAUGGCCUUAUAUUAGAUAUAUUCAAGAAUAAAGCCAAUAGAGACGGUCCAGUGGAUGGUAAUAGUAUAUGCUGGGAUUCAAUAUGGGCUAAUAUCAAACAAGUCUCUAAAAACCCCAAAUCAUCAACUGAUUCACUUCAAAAUGAUUCACAGGAUGUAUCUCACUCCCAGGAAACAUCAUUUAAUGAAGCUUUCCACCUCUCCUACAUGUAACUUUUGCUCAAAUGGGAACAUAGGUACAUGUAUACACACGUUUUGGGACUGCCUGGAAGUCAAUGAUUUUUGGAAACAGGUUUCCACAACACUGGAGGACAUUUUUGAACUUGAGAUGAUUCAUCUUACACUCUCUAACUCAGAAAAAGGUGUUUUUUUUUUGUUUUGUGGAAUUACUGCAGCUAAAAAUGCUUGCCUUAUGCUGGAAACCUCAUUCUCUUGCAUGGACUCACUGGAUGCACUCUUUCUUACAUAUUGCUGGCAUGCAGCUCUCAGUGGCAAGGUUACAUGGAGCAUCUCAGAGAACUCUCUCAGCAUGGCUGGAUGCUAUUGCCAAAAUUAAGGAGCGGUUGUAAAUCUGUGUCUUCUGUUCUCACUUUGUAUGUAAUUUUUUUUUCUUUCUCCUAUGUGUAACUUUUUGUUUGUUGUUGUACUUACUGU